AAGGGUGAGUAAGGCGACGGUAACCAACCCCAGGAUUGGGUAUAGCCGCGGGAAACCGCGGGUAAUCCCCAGCGACGCAACGACACCGGCAUCGGUGUUUUGCCAAAGCUUCGGCGUCGUGGGACGGGCUGUCGUGGUAUUAGCUUGUUGGCGGGGUAAUGGCCCACCAAGGCUGUGAUGCCUACCGGGCGUGCGAGCGUGGCCCGGCACACUGGGACUGAGACACUGCCCAGACUCCUACGGGAGGCUGCAGUCGAGAAUCUUCGGCAAUGGGCGCAAGCCUGACCGAGCGACGCCGCGUGGAGGAUGAAGGCCCUCGGGUUGUAAACUCCUGUCGAGGGGGAAAAAGGGUUGAAAGACCUUGAUUGAUCCCUGGAGGAAGCACGGGCUAAGUUCGUGCCAGCAGCCGCGGUAAGACGAACCGUGCGAACGUUAUUCGGAAUCAUUGGGCUUAAAGCGCGUGUAGGCGGAUUCGUGCGUCUGUCGCUGAAAUCCCCCGGCUCAACCGGGGAACGGGCGUGGAUACGACGAGUCUGGAGGGGCAUAGGGGGACCUGGAACUUCCGGUGGAGCGGUGAAAUGCGUUGA
This 587-nucleotide ribosomal RNA is filed under the name uncultured bacterium. Its description in RNAcentral is "bacterial SSU rRNA". It matches the Rfam family "Bacterial small subunit ribosomal RNA", at positions 102 to 694 of the family's 1533-position model. The record is from RNAcentral.